CUUAGAGUGACCCUGAUACAUGUGAAGUGCAAAGUACUCUUACUACUCUUUUAGGUCUCUGGCUCAAGCUUUACAAUGGUCUUAAUGAUCAGGGCAGCAGAUUUUCCUGGAACUAAAGGAGAGAUGGGUGAGGAGCAGAUGGAAAGUCAGCCAUUCCAGAGUGCUGCAGGCUUGAGCACUGAAAAAUGCUGAGCACGUAUCUGCUCCCUACCUUGAAGAAGAACAAGCCCACAAUUGGACAGAAGCUAGGCGUUUUGUCCCUUCCUCCUACAAAGGAGCUGGCAUAGGUCUGGGCUCAACAGAAGGCAUGGAGAGCUUAUCCCAGCAAGAGUUCAGGCCACAAACACACUCACUGACUCGCAGGGAAGGAAGGAGCCUGGUUCAGCUCUGUCUUAACAGCAAUACACCUCCACAGUCCUCUGGCAUGGGAUUUGUUAGAUUUGGGUCACAAGCCCCAGCAAGUAUGAUUCUCCGUGUAUUUGCGACCAACUUAUUAUGAAGCUGUGCUGGUUUUCAACAGAUUGGCUAUAAUUUGGCUUUAAGAACAACUGCUACUUUGAUAAUAACUGAUACGUUACACUGUAAAGUGAUGAAUACAAUAUGUACACCACUCAAUUAUAUGCUCAUCUUGAUGUCUUUAUGAGAAUUUGCUUGGGAAAAAAUGGUUUUAACGUUGUAUUUUUAGAACAGAAAAUGUGUAACUGUGACCAAAAUAAAACAGACACUUAAAGCGAACCAACUGCCUAAAGCUGGUGAAGAAGACAUGACCAUAUCUCAAGUGACUCCUACACUUCCCACAGCAUAGCAAAAGUACUAUUUUUCUGUCCAAGUGUAGGCGUUAACAGGUUGGUUAAAACCAUAAUAUAAAUAGUCACAUGUAGCCGCAUCAAACGACAAAAAUCCGAUAUUUGACUAAUUGACUAUGUUAGUUUAGUUGUUUAUGUGAGAAUGUGUUAAAAGCAUCAUUUCUUAUAACAUUUAUUUGGAGUCUGAGAUGACUGUCUGUGUUAGUGUUGGGUAAGAAAAGUUGAUUUGAGAUCUUUCCUCAAAUAGACCUAAUCGAUAACACAUUCAGCAUGAAAUGGAAGUGAGUAUUAAGAAAACAGGGAGAUAGAAUAAACACCGAUGUGUUGAUUACCUGUCACAUGGCCCAGCUGGUCUGAGGUCUGUGUAAACAGUCAAAUAUUCUAACAUGAAAAGUCCUGAGAGAACUACAGUGAGUCAACAAAUGGUACAAUCUAUGAUAAAGUGGGGUGAAAGUGUGUGUGUGUGUGUGUGUGUGUGUGUGUGAGAGAGAGAUAGAGAGAGAGAGAAGGGGAAAAGGUUAUUUACAUUAAAUUAUGUGAAUUUAGCACACUUUAUUUAUUUAAAUAAUUCACUGGCCAUGGUCUUUAAAAGGAUCAUGUGGUGCGACCAUGAUUUAGCCACCAAAUAAUAUAUUUCCUUAAUAUGGUAAAAAAAAUUUUUUACAAAGUAUUAGACAUAACUAUGCAUUACUUAUGAAUUUCAGUAAGUCAGCAACAUACAUUUGUCUUGUAACUAAACCGCUUCCCAAUUUAUAAACUUUACAGACUUGUUACCAACAUAAAACGAAUUGUACAAGACUAAUAUUCACUUGAGCAUAGUGUGUCAAUUAAUAACAUUAGCCACAGAACCUACAUUUCUUAUUUUGAAUUGUAAUAUUCUUAUUGCAAUUACUGCUUAUGCCACAUGAUGGGUGAUCACACCAAAUGAUGAGAAGAGCAUGCAUGGUGUUAAAGAACACGCAAUGAGUGUUAAAAUCACUUUCUACUUUCCAUGGAUGGAGGUGUAAAGUCUAACACAGCCUUAGCCAUCUUUUUUCUCUCCCUGUAACUUGUGGAUGCAGCCCUCCAUUUCUCUUUCUGCUACUCCCUGCCUGUCUUUAGCAGGUCACUAUUCUUCACUGAUAGCUAAAACAAUAGCAUACAAUGUUUUGACGUAAAUUAGAUAUGAAAGAGGCCAAUUAAAAUGCAUGGCAUGAUAGAUAAGAACAGAAGCUGUGCCCAUGUAAUGGAAAACCAAAUUCAUCUUGCGUUUUUGAAACAAGAGGUUGACGUAUCAUGUAAAACAUUGUUAAAGUUUCUUUCACCCCCAAUUCAUACAGUCAAUACAGUAUAUGGAAGCUAAACUGCAAAAACAGCCCUUCAAUUAUUCAUAUGUUGUGACUCAUGUAUAAAUCACCUUUUUUUCAUGACAAUAGCAGGUCAGUCCCACCUAAUUAAGAUGAAACGAUAAUGAAUGUUUCAUCCUAUCCCUAGCGUAAUACAGAACAACUGUCUGAACCAUCUGAAGGUGUUUAUUAUAUACUGAUCACAAAUUCACAGUAAAAAACAAACAAACAAAAACCCAAUAGGAUUUUCACGUAGGCUUUUGGAUUAUCACAAAAAACAAUCUCUGUGAUCCACAAACGUUUACAAUACUAACACGUUUUGACCAUUAAGAUAAUUUUCAAUAAUGAAGACAACUUUUAUGAAGUUUGAAGCCUAAAUACGAUCCCCAGAAAUAAACAGCUAACCGUACACUAUAAACAAAUUACACCACGGUCGCUCGACUUCAACGUCACCAUCACCAAGCUUCAGACAAAUUUCCCAAACUUGAUUCAAAAACAUUUUCCACAAUACGGAUUUACUCUGUGAAUGAAUCUUCAUCCACCUUUUUUUUUUUGGUAAUUGUGCACAGCACACCUGAACCAGUUUAUCUGCAAAGACGUUUCCUGUUCGGCGUGAUGACGUUUAAUGUCCCUGACAACAUCUGUAGUCCCAUUUAGCAACAUGUUAGUGUCAUGAUAUUCCCUCGGCCAAGCGCUGGAGCUGGCAUCGUGCUCUGAAACCCGAAGCAAAGCUCACAGCACAAG
This is a long non-coding RNA of Ictalurus punctatus (channel catfish), 2875 nucleotides long. RefSeq lists it as uncharacterized. The transcript has 3 exons. The record is from RefSeq and is a predicted model, not a curated record. NCBI's taxonomy places the organism in Eukaryota, Metazoa, Chordata, Actinopteri, Siluriformes, Ictaluridae.